RNAcentral lists this ribosomal RNA (282 nucleotides) under uncultured bacterium. RNAcentral's name for it is "partial 16S ribosomal RNA". It matches the Rfam family "Bacterial small subunit ribosomal RNA", at positions 506 to 784 of the family's 1533-position model. The record is from RNAcentral.
UGCCAGCAGCCGCGGUAAUACGGAGGGUGCGAGCGUUAAUCGGAAUUACUGGGCGUAAAGCGUGCGUAGGUGGUUUAUUAAGUCAGAUGUGAAAGCCCCGGGCUUAACCUGGGAACUGCAUUUGAAACUGGUAAACUAGAGUAUGGUAGAGGAAAGUGGAAUUUCUGGUGUAGCGGUGAAAUGCGUAGAUAUCAGAAGGAGGGAUACCAGUGGCGAAGGCGGCCUCCUGGCUCGACACUGACACUGAGGCGCGAAAGCGUGGGGAGCAAACGGGAUUAGAUA